Paramuricea clavata is the source of this 2363-nucleotide non-coding RNA. Lineage: Eukaryota; Metazoa; Cnidaria; Anthozoa; Malacalcyonacea; Plexauridae. The record is from the annotation of a GenBank genome assembly.
GUUCAGUGGUUAAUUGAACCAUGUUUAAUUAAUGGCGUUCUUACUGUCACUAAGGGGCGGACCAUUUGAUUUUUGAGAGGUGGGGUGGAAGAUUCAGACUGUGCAAGAAUUUUUUUCCGCCCAGGGGAACAAGACAGAUAUUUUUUUCCUGUAAAAGUGCAGUGCAAGAUAUUUUUUCCCCAAUAUAUUUCGCUGCAGGAUAUUUUUUCCUCUCAUAAUAACGGCUUACAGUAACUUAAGGCUUUCAUAUAGCUAUCGUCAGAGACGUAGCCGGGGUUUGCAGUAAGAAGAGGCCGAGAACUGAAUCCCAAGAGAGGCCAAGGAAUUUUCACUGUGCUUUAUUUUAUAUGGUUAUGUCUUAAUUAAUGUUCCCCACACUAAAGCGUGCAGGUUUAAAACAUGCAGGGAUAGAGUAGAGUACUCGAAAAUGGGGGAGGUACAGUUGUUACGAGGCUUUAUUUAUAGGUAGUGAAUCGUUACAACAAUCUCUAAUAACUAUCAGUUCUUAAUGUUCGUCUUCUCGUAGUAGUUUCCUAAAGUUCACUUCAUUUUACUCUAGUCCACUGUCCAUUGAGAAUCCACUGAAAGAUCAUCCACUGAGAAUCCACUGAGAAUCCACUGAGAUCAUACACUGUUACGACAACUUUUCAUAGAUAAUUUUUACUUCGUUGAGUCCACUGAAAGAUCAUCCACUGGCGAGUCUCGGUUGUGCACGCACUUUUAUACUAACGGUUGAGGGGAUCUUUGUACACGUGAGGUAGCAAGUGGUGUGAGUUGUAUCCAGCCAAUCAACGUUGAGGUUUAAAAGUGUGGGUUGGCGUUGCUAGCUCGUUCCAGUCCUCAAAUUCUGUUUAUUUAAGGCGUUGUCGCACUGGUCGAGUUGGUUCGCUGUUCAAUCAAUCAAUAUUAAAAUAUGUUCACAACUUAAAAUACUUAUUGAAAUAUCAUAGUAAAAACUUCAACCUAUACCUAUGUGAACCUUACUUUACCUACUAACCUAAAUUUACUUACAAUUUUAUUGAACCAAGAUUUUGAUGACGUAAUGUUAUAAUUACUCAACCGCGCGAAAUAUACCGAAGAAUGAUUGACAGAAAGGCCCUAAGCAUGCACAUUUUCAUGUCAGAGAAGAACCAGCCUUGGACUUUGAAUUAUGUAAACACAACAGCCCACCAUGCAAGGCUAUCGUCCAACUUUGACAAAUGAUUUAUCUUGCCUAAUGGACAGAUAAUUGACACUUUUACACAAGUCCGAAAUGAUAUAUACUUUAUCUGCGUUUUACAGCAAAAAUGCUCAUUAUCUGUCCAUUUGACGUAACUAGUAUCUAUAAUUACCUGGGGGUGCAAAUUGAACUAUUUUUAUACUAUUUAGAUAUACUUUCGCAACACAGUAUUUGAAUGACCUGUAAACUUGGGGGGUUCGGGGGCAUGCUCCCCCGAGAAAAUUUUAAAAUUUGGACCUAUAUCUGAUAAAACAUUCCUACUCGUGUUUUAAAUAGCACUUAAAUCUCUUGCCAAACUUACUCUUUGUGUUAAGAAUGUCAAUUAAAGAUAUCAUUAAUGUUUUGAAUAAAUUCAGCAGUUUGCUCACACUUUUCAAGCUGUUUCACGUUUAGGUUGCGGAGAUAAAUCAUAAACUGCUUAAUGUUUGGGCUGCAACUGCAACCUUCAUCUUUUGAUUGUGCCAUUUAAUGUGCACAUUUUUCAACUUGUUUCCAAGGUGCAAGAUAUCGGAUUGUUGGACAUUGAAUAUCUCCUUAAUAUAAUACCAGCUGAUUGUUUCUCCACCCGAGGUAUAAAAGACUCUUCUUGUCUCCUGAUGUAUUGCGGGCAAGUUUUAACAUAUGGUAUAUGUCCAAGAUGACAUAUAGAGUUUUGCCUGGUCGGGUAGGAUGUUGGAAAGAGCCAUCAAAGCUGUCUAUCUUACAUCCAAGACGUCUAGCUGUGGCUAAAUUCUUUGAGCAGCCAUCAAAAGUCACAGCAUACACAUCAAGCCCCGCAUCGGUAAGUAAGUAAUUAAUAGACUCUUUUAUUAUCUGUGCUUGCAUUUUAGAGUCUAAUUAUGUGGUUAACUAAAAAGUAAGCAAUAGGAUAACUCCAUGGUUUUUGUAUGCCUUCUGCCAUAACAACCAGUGCAUUAUGAGCAAUUAUAUCCUGGUCUUCUGCUAAAAUUGGCCCAUAGUCGGUGUUACCAGCAAAUUUCUGAUUUUCGCAUCCCACAGAACUUCUUUUUUUGUUGACAUUUCAUCAACCAAUAUGAUGCAAUCUUUGUUAUCAUCCUCUAGAGUGUUCUGAAGAUGUUCGAUAACGUUACUUGGGUGGCUACUACUACUCGGGUGGUUACCUCGGGUGGCUGGAUCAAUGAUG